GAGCACGUAGGUGGGUUUGUAAGUCAGAUGUGAAAGCCUUCUAUUCAACGGAAGAAUUGCAUCUGAAACUGCGAGUCUUGAGUGUAGGAGGGGAGAAUGGAACUUCUGGUGGAGCGGUGAAAUGCGUAGAUAUCAGAAGGAACUCCGGCGGCGAAAGCGAUUCUCUGGCCUAUUACUGACACUCAGUGUGCGAAAGCUAGGGGAGCAAACGGGAUUAGAUACCCCGGUAGUCCUAGCCGUAAACGAUGGGCACUAAGUAGAGGGGUUUU
This 269-nucleotide ribosomal RNA is filed under the name uncultured Planctomycetales bacterium. Its description in RNAcentral is "partial 16S ribosomal RNA". It matches the Rfam family "Bacterial small subunit ribosomal RNA", at positions 565 to 832 of the family's 1533-position model. Lineage: Bacteria; Pseudomonadati; Planctomycetota; Planctomycetia; Planctomycetales. The record is from RNAcentral.